RNAcentral lists this long non-coding RNA (245 nucleotides) under Amborella trichopoda. RNAcentral's name for it is "long non-coding RNA (ATRI_LNC000788)". Lineage: Eukaryota; Viridiplantae; Streptophyta; Magnoliopsida; Amborellales; Amborellaceae. The record is from RNAcentral.
CUUUCGAAACUUAAAAUCUUUUUGUUUUUUUCAUAUUCAUUAACAUCAAUGUUGAGAUGAUAAAGUAGAUAGUUUUUCAACAUUAAAACAAUCUUUCCGAUAGAUUUUGAGGCGUAUCUGUUAUUCUAGAUUUUAAGGUUACAACCUUAUAUAAACUUUUUCCAAUUUUUAAUGACUAAUUAAGUGAAAGAAACAUUCAAUUGGAGAGAAAAUGAAUGUCCAAAUGAGAAGAUGUGGGUGGGUGG